UACGUAGGGUGCAAGCGUUAAUCGGAAUUACUGGGCGUAAAGCGUGCGCAGGCGGUUUUGUAAGUCUGACGUGAAAUCCCCCGGGCUCAACCUGGGAAUUGCGUUGGAGACUGCAAGGCUGGAGUCUGGCAGAGGGGGGUAGAAUUCCACGUGUAGCAGUGAAAUGCGUAGAGAUGUGGAGGAAUACCGAUGGCGAAGGCAGCCCCCUGGGCCAAUACUGACGCUCAUGCACGAAAGCGUGGGGAGCAAACAGG
This 254-nucleotide ribosomal RNA is filed under the name uncultured bacterium. RNAcentral describes it as "partial 16S ribosomal RNA". It matches the Rfam family "Bacterial small subunit ribosomal RNA", at positions 524 to 776 of the family's 1533-position model. The record is from RNAcentral.